UGGGGAAUAUUGCACAAUGGGCGCAAGCCUGAUGCAGCGACGCCGCGUGCGGGAUGGAGGCCUUUCGGGUUGUAAACCGUCUUUUUGUUCAAGGGCAAGGCACGGUCUUUGGCCGUGUUGAGUGGAUUGUUCGAAUAAGCACCGGCUAACUACGUGCC
Molecule: ribosomal RNA, 158 nt
Filed under: uncultured bacterium
Lineage: Bacteria
Description: partial 16S ribosomal RNA
Rfam family: Bacterial small subunit ribosomal RNA
Source: RNAcentral